Molecule: ribosomal RNA, 499 nt
Filed under: uncultured bacterium
Lineage: Bacteria
Description: partial 16S ribosomal RNA
Rfam family: Bacterial small subunit ribosomal RNA
Source: RNAcentral
GACGAACGCUGGCGGCGUGCUUAACACAUGCAAGUCGAACGGGCCCGCCCCUGUUUUUGGGGGUGGGUUGAGUGGCGAACGGGUGAGUAUCACGUGAGUAACCUGCCCCCUGCUCCUGGAUAACUGCUUGAAAGGGCGGCUAAUACGGGGUGUGCCGGCUGGUCCGCAUGGGCCUGGUCGGGAUAGUUUCAUCUUCGGGUGUUUCGGUGGGGGAUGGGCUAGCGGCCUAUCAGCUUGUUGGUGGGGUGAUGGCCCACCAAGGCGGUGACGGGUAGGCGGCCUGAGAGGGUGGGCGGCCAGACUGGGACUGAGACACGGCCCAGACUCCUGCGGGAGGCAGCCGUGGGGGGUAUUGCUCGGUGGGCGGAAGCCUGAUGCAGCGCCGUCGCGUGAGGGAUGGAGGCCUUCGGGUUGGGAACCUCUUUCUCCGGUGGUGAAGGCCCUGUCCGUUGCGGCGGGGUUGACGGUAGCCGGGUAUGAAGCGCCGGCUAACUACGGG